AGAGGGUGGAGACUGAGGGUCCCACUACACAAAAAAGGACCACAAAGACACACAAGCCAACACAAAAAGGUAUUAUCAUCUGAAAAAGGUGCAAAUCAACCUCAAAGUGAGGAUUUUCACACGCGGAUCAAAAAGCAGAGUUCAGUCCAGAGUCUGGGUUUAAAUAUUUCUAUUUGACGGAUUUCAGAAACAGCAGAACAAUAAGAAAAAAGACAAACAAAAACAUUUCAGUCUGUGUCGCACUAAAACGAGACACACGGGUGAGUUAAUCUACAGGUGAGUUAGUCUGCAGGUGAGUUAGUCUGCAGGUGAGUUAGUCUGCAGGUGAGUCAGUCUACAGGUGAGUCAGUCUACAGGUGAGUUAGUCUACAGGUGAGUUAAUCUACAGGUGAGUUAGUCUGCAGGUGAGUCAGUCUACAGGUGAGUCAGUCUACAGGUGAGUUAGUCUACAGGUGAGUUAAUCUACAGGUGAGUUAGUCUGCAGGUGAGUCAGUCUACAGGUGAGUCAGUCUACAGGUGAGUCAGUCUACAGGUGAGUUAGUCUACAGGUGAGUUAAUCUACAGGUGAGUUAGUCUGCAGGUGAGUCAGUCUACAGGUGAGUCAGUCUACAGGUGAGUUAGUCUACAGGUGAGUUAAUCUACAGGUGAGUUAGUCUGCAGGUGAGUCAGGGUUUGAUGAGAGACACAGGAAGUUAAUUAAUGUGACAGAACUCCACAUACUGACACAAAAACAUGUGAAAGACUAAAUGAAAUCACAGAAAGCAGUUUAUUUUAAGCAUUUGAAAACUUUAUCAGGUACAGCUGUGAACUGAAACACAUCAGAUUACUGUGAUCAAAAGGAGACUGAUUGUGUUUUAUGUUUGAUGGACUGAAUGACUGUACAGCUGAUUCAUAUCUACACAUUUAUGUCCAUCAUAAAAACAGACAGAAAGCUUUUGUGUCUGUUCCCAGGACUGAACUGGGCUGUUUAAGGUCACUGCUUCUCUUUGGAAUCAGUUGA
Acanthochromis polyacanthus (spiny chromis) is the source of this 1000-nucleotide long non-coding RNA. RefSeq lists it as uncharacterized. NCBI's taxonomy places the organism in Eukaryota, Metazoa, Chordata, Actinopteri, Pomacentridae. The transcript is spliced from 3 exons. The record is from RefSeq and is a predicted model, not a curated record.